GUGCCAGCAGCCGCGGUAAUACGUAGGGUGCGAGCGUUGUCCGGAAUUAUUGGGCGUAAAGAGCUCGUAGGCGGUGUGUCACGUCGGCCGUGAAAACCUGCAGCUUAACUGUGGGCGUGCGGUCGAUACGGGCAUCACUGGAGUUCGGCAGGGGAGACUGGAAUUCCUGGUGUAGCGGUGAAAUGCGCAGAUAUCAGGAGGAACACCGGUGGCGAAGGCGGGUCUCUGGGCCGAUACUGACGCUGAGGAGCGAAAGCGUGGGGAGCAAACAGGAUUAGAUACCCUGGUAGUCCACGCCGUAAACGGUGGGCACUAGGUGUGGGGACCAUUCCACGGUUUCUGUGCCGCAGCUAACGCAUUAAGUGCCCCGCCUGGGGAGUACGGCCGCAAGGCUAAAACUCAAAGAAAUUGGCGG
This 415-nucleotide ribosomal RNA is filed under the name uncultured bacterium. RNAcentral describes it as "bacterial SSU rRNA". It matches the Rfam family "Bacterial small subunit ribosomal RNA", at positions 505 to 916 of the family's 1533-position model. The record is from RNAcentral.